CUACAGCAGAGUGAUUUGCGAAAGCCGCUUAAUCGCGAUAACCCGAUUUGAUAAAAGGAUGAGCAAUAUCGCGGCAUUGCUUGCCCUGAAAAUGACGAAUAACUGUUUCUCGCUUCUCGUGUUGCGCUACGUCUACUCUCCUUUUACAUUACACAAUCUUUAUUUAAUGUAUUUGAGGAAAAAAUAGAGAAAGACACACCAAAGUAACGAUCGCUCGUUUGUUCUUCACCUGAAUUAUUUCAUAGACUAUUUAUACUCUUUUGACGAUAAUGACGAAAAAAAAUCUCAACGUCGAGUCCAUGCAGCACACCCGGCACAGCACGUACCUGCCUGUUUUAUAAAUGAACAUAAACUACCUCUCGCGGAUGCGAUUAAAUCGCAGGUCAUUGGACGUUUGAUACGACGAUAAAAGGGGGACAUAUUAUUUGUGAAAGCUUCAUUAAUGUCACUAAUAAUUACUGACAUCGAUUGAAAUCUUUCUAAAAUCUCACAUUUUCGACAGAUCCAUUUAUCUCACUGAUUUGACAUUCACGAAGCGCCGGCUACAUUUCUUCAUCCAUUUAUAACCAGUUCAGACCGUUUAACAAAGUUCAUAGUAACAAUCAUCGGUCUGACAGUGGAAUGGUCAGAGUUUAAGUCUCAAUCAUACGUUUCGUAACACCUCGUUGAUGAAUGUUUUUCAAAGAAAUAAAAAGGAUCGAAGCGAGGUAGGAUAGUGGAGUGGUGGAUUGAUAAAAUGAGGUGAAAGUUCCCGAUGGUACAAUCUCGAAAUGUUCCUUGAAUAGCUCUCUGGUUGCCCGUUUUUCAACGUGAUCCAGCCCUUUUCUACCUUUCAGGGAAACAUCUACGGCUUACUUCGACAUUUUUUUCCUUCGUCAUUCCCUCGUGAGCUUCGUUUUUUCAGCUGGGACUGUCUACCAACAAAAAUGUGGCUUUGGAGGGUUGUUAGAGCCAGACACCGAUCUCUCCCCUUUAUUACUGCAUGUCUGAGAAAAGAGAAUUUCACAAAUGAUCAAAAACUUUCGGAUCAUCCGUUCGUCAAAGAUUCGUCACUCCAAUCCAGUCCGCUUUUCUCAACGAGGUUCGAACAGCCAUAGCUGCGUAUACGUCAACUGGUUACGGAUGAGGUUGAAAGCUUUGCUGAACGCGACAAGAACAUUGUAUACUGGGACGAUACAUGGAAGCCCACGCGAAAGAGGGAAGCAGGAGGAACGAGGGGAAGGAGACAGGGAAAGAGAGCGGGCGAGAGACAGAGAGAAGGAAGAAGAAAAGCCGAGAUGCUUUUAAUACCGAUGCACUUUAACGUCGUGAUCGUAAAGACUCUUGAAUAUGAUUUAUGCUUCGUGAAGCAGAGAUAAAAGUUUUCACUCAAGAUUUGAAGCUCGAAAACUUGGACUGUAUCCUCUGGAACGAGCGCUACUUUCCUCUCCAUCCUUUUCAUUUUGUGCCACAUUUCGAGUGAAAGUUGAGCAUUUUUUGGCAUCACAAUUAUGCUCGAGUCGAGGUGAAAAAAAAAAAGUGUCUGAAAAGGUAGAAUCUCAACACCUUUCCGUAGCUCGAAGUCUCUCUCGAAGCGAAGAACGAAAAUGUAAAUAAAAAAGAGCACUACUCAUAUCCAGGAAAAAAAAGGGAAUCCGAACGAGAUGUCGAAACUUGUGCAAUAUUUUUGUGAACGAAACACAGAUUGAUCGCUCAGAGAAUCCAAUCGAAGAGGAAAAAGUCUGCAACUAUCCAUGAAUUUAUGGAUCAGUCCAAAAGGUUUAUUUGAAAAGAUAAAUCCGAGGAAUUUGCACGUUGAGCCUGGAAUAUCUCGUAUGAAGAUUGGACGGGAGAUAAAACAUAUAUAGAUGCGACAGUUGAUGCUUGGUGCGCUGCGAGUUGGCCCAAAGCUCCUCCAUAGAAACUACGAUUACGACUGGAGAGUGUAAAUUACCGUGAAACCGGUGAAACCACGAUCACAAACACUCCCAAAUGUAUAUAUAAUUAUGUAUGUGAUAACUGUGGCUGACAGAUGGAACAACUUAUCGUUACUGGCCUAUCAACAUUGAAAAUCAGCAAAAGUUCAUAAAUAUUGUAUUAUGGCUUAUUUUUUCCUCGGUUAUUUCUACACUAAGAAAAAAAAAAGCCAAUUGGAACUACGAAAUAUGGCAUGACGGGGUGGCAAUGAAAUUUAUGAUCAUCACAAGGUUAAAUACACGAUUAAACGAACAAAAGAGUUUUAGAUCAAA
RNAcentral lists this long non-coding RNA (2228 nucleotides) under Venturia canescens. RNAcentral describes it as "uncharacterized LOC122407415, transcript variant X2". The record is from RNAcentral. Lineage: Eukaryota; Metazoa; Arthropoda; Insecta; Hymenoptera; Ichneumonidae.